This 1154-nucleotide small RNA is filed under the name Simplicillium sp. KYK00011. Its description in RNAcentral is "eukaryotic LSU rRNA". The stretch from base 551 to 1154 matches the Rfam family "Eukaryotic large subunit ribosomal RNA", at positions 1 to 628 of the family's 3401-position model. The record is from RNAcentral. Lineage: Eukaryota; Fungi; Ascomycota; Sordariomycetes; Hypocreales; Cordycipitaceae.
UCUCCGUUGGUGAACCAGCGGAGGGAUCAUUAUCGAGUUUAUCCAACUCCCAACCCUAUGUGAACCUACCUUUAUGUUGCUUCGGCGGUCUCGCGCCGGGCUGCUCCCUAGGGGGCUCCCGGGACCACGCGUCCGCCGGAGACCACAAACUCUUGAUUUUGCGAAAGCAGUAUUAUUCUGAGUGGCCGAAAGGCAAAAAACAAAUGAAUCAAAACUUUCAACAACGGAUCUCUUGGUUCUGGCAUCGAUGAAGAACGCAGCGAAAUGCGAUAAGUAAUGUGAAUUGCAGAAUUCAGUGAAUCAUCGAAUCUUUGAACGCACAUUGCGCCCGCCAGCAUUCUGGCGGGCAUGCCUGUUCGAGCGUCAUUUCAACCCUCGAGCUCGUCUUCAUUGACGAGAUCGGUGUUGGGACCCGGCGAGCGGGGACUCACGUCCCCUGCCGGCCCCGAAAUUCAGUGGCGGCCCGUUGCGGCGACCUCUGCGUAGUAACUUAACCUCGCACUGGGACAGCAGCGCGGCCACGCCGUAAAACCCCCGACUUUUUUAAGGUUGACCUCGAAUCAGGUAGGACUACCCGCUGAACUUAAGCAUAUCAAUAAGCGGAGGAAAAGAAACCAACAGGGAUUGCCCCAGUAACGGCGAGUGAAGCGGCAACAGCUCAAAUUUGAAAUCUGGCUCCUAGAGUCCGAGUUGUAAUUUGUAGAGGAUGCUUUUGAUGCGGUGCCUUCCGAGUUCCCUGGAACGGGACGCCAUAGAGGGUGAGAGCCCCGUCUGGUCGGAUGCCAAAUCUCUGUAAAGCUCCUUCGACGAGUCGAGUAGUUUGGGAAUGCUGCUCAAAAUGGGAGGUAUAUGUCUUCUAAAGCUAAAUAUUGGCCAGAGACCGAUAGCGCACAAGUAGAGUGAUCGAAAGAUGAAAAGCACUUUGAAAAGAGGGUUAAAUAGUACGUGAAAUUGUUGAAAGGGAAGCGCCUAUGACCAGACUUGGGCCCGGUGAAUCAUCCAGCGUUCUCGCUGGUGCACUUUGCCGGGCACAGGCCAGCAUCAGUUUGUCUUGGGGGAAAAAGGCUUUGGGAACGUGGCUCCCUCGGGAGUGUUAUAGACCAUUGCAUAAUACCCUGGGACGGACUGAGGUUCGCGCAUCUGCAAGGAUGCUG